RNAcentral lists this ribosomal RNA (400 nucleotides) under uncultured bacterium. Its description in RNAcentral is "partial 16S ribosomal RNA". It matches the Rfam family "Bacterial small subunit ribosomal RNA", at positions 359 to 776 of the family's 1533-position model. The record is from RNAcentral.
GAAUAUUGCGCAAUGGAGGAAACUCUGACGCAGCAACGCCGCGUGAAGGAUGAAGGCUUUCGGGUUGUAAACUUCUUUGAUCGGGGCAGAAAAUGACGGUACCCGAGGAACAAGCCACGGCUAACUACGUGCCAGCAGCCGCGGUAAUACGUAGGUGGCAAGCGUUGUCCGGAAUUACUGGGUGUAAAGGGCGUGUAGGCGGGAAAGCAAGUCAGAUGUGAAAUCCCAGGGCUUAACUCUGGAGCUGCAUCUGAAACUGUUUUUCUUGAGUACUGGAGAGGAAAGUGGAAUUCCAAGUGUAGCGGUGAAAUGCGUAGAGAUUUGGAGGAACACCAGUGGCGAAGGCGGCUUUCUGGACAGUAACUGACGCUGAGGCGCGAAAGCGUGGGGAGCAAACAGG